CCUACGGGUGGCAGCAGUAGGGAAUCUUCCACAAUGGACGAAAGUCUGAUGGAGCAACACCGCGUGAGUGAAGAAGGGUUUCGGCUCGUAAAGCUCUGUUGGUCGUGAAGAAAGAUAGAGGUAGUAACUGGCCUUUAUUGGACGGGAAGUACUUAGAACGUCACGGCUAACUACGUGCCAGAAGCCGCGGUAAUACGUAGGUGGCAAGCGUUGUCCGGAUUUGUUGGGCGUAAAGCGAGUGCCGGCGGUUCAAUAAGUCUGAUGUGAAAGCCUUCGGCUCAACCGGAGAGUUGCAUCAGAAACUGUUGAACUUGAGUGGAGAAGAGGAGAGUGGAACGCCAGGUGUAGCGGUGGAAUGCGUAGAUAUAUGGAAGAACACCAGUGGCGAAGGCGGCACUCUGGUCUGAAACUGACGCUGAGGCUCGAAAGCAUGGGUAGCGAACAGGAUUAGAUACCCCUGUAGUC
This 465-nucleotide ribosomal RNA is filed under the name uncultured bacterium. RNAcentral describes it as "partial 16S ribosomal RNA". It matches the Rfam family "Bacterial small subunit ribosomal RNA", at positions 338 to 795 of the family's 1533-position model. The record is from RNAcentral.